This 450-nucleotide ribosomal RNA is filed under the name uncultured bacterium. RNAcentral's name for it is "bacterial SSU rRNA". It matches the Rfam family "Bacterial small subunit ribosomal RNA", at positions 28 to 478 of the family's 1533-position model. The record is from RNAcentral.
GAUGAACGCUGGCGGCGUGCUUAACACAUGCAAGUCGAACGAAGCACUUGAAUGGAAUUCUUUGGAAGGAAGCUCAAGUGACUGAGUGGCGGACGGGUGAGUAACGCGUGGGUAACCUGCCUCAUACAGGGGGAUAACAGUUAGAAAUGACUGCUAAUACCGCAUAAGCACACGUGAUCGCAUGAUCGAGUGUGAAAAACUCCGGUGGUAUAAGAUGGACCCGCGUUGGAUUAGCUUGUUGGUGGGGUAACGGCCCACCAAGGCGACGAUCCAUAGCCGGCCUGAGAGGGUGAACGGCCACAUUGGGACUGAGACACGGCCCAGACUCCUACGGGAGGCAGCAGUGGGGAAUAUUGCACAAUGGGGGAAACCCUGAUGCAGCGACGCCGCGUGAAGGAAGAAGUAUCUCGGUAUGUAAACUUCUAUCAGCAGGGAAGAUAGUGACGGUAC